CGGACGGGUGAGUAAUGCCUAGGAAUCUGCCUGGUAGUGGGGGACAACGUUUCGAAAGGAACGCUAAUACCGCAUACGUCCUACGGGAGAAAGCAGGGGACCUUCGGGCCUUGCGCUAUCAGAUGAGCCUAGGUCGGAUUAGCUAGUUGGUGAGGUAAUGGCUCACCAAGGCGACUAUCCGUAACUGGUCUGAGAGGAUGAUCAGUCACACUGGAACUGAGACACGGUCCAG
RNAcentral lists this ribosomal RNA (232 nucleotides) under uncultured Pseudomonadales bacterium. RNAcentral's name for it is "partial 16S ribosomal RNA". It matches the Rfam family "Bacterial small subunit ribosomal RNA", at positions 99 to 334 of the family's 1533-position model. The record is from RNAcentral. Lineage: Bacteria; Pseudomonadati; Pseudomonadota; Gammaproteobacteria; Pseudomonadales.